This 326-nucleotide ribosomal RNA is filed under the name uncultured eukaryote. RNAcentral's name for it is "partial 18S ribosomal RNA". It matches the Rfam family "Eukaryotic small subunit ribosomal RNA", at positions 1470 to 1796 of the family's 1831-position model. The record is from RNAcentral.
CCCUUAGAUGUUCUGGGCUGCACGCGCGCUACACUGAUGCACUCAACGAGUUUACGACCUUGCCCGAUAGGGUUGGGUAAUCUUUUUAAAAUGCAUCGUGAUGGGGAUAGAUUAUUGCAAUUAUUAAUCUUCAACGAGGAAUUCCUAGUAAGCGCGAGUCAUCAGCUCGUGCUGAUUACGUCCCUGCCCUUUGUACACACCGCCCGUCGCUCCUACCGAUUGAGUGCUCAGGUGAAUAAUUCGGACUGCAGCAAUGUUUGGAUCCCGAACGUUGCAGCGGAAAGUUUAGUGAACCUUAUCACUUGGAGGAAGGAGAAGUCGUAACA